Long non-coding RNA from Phasianus colchicus (ring-necked pheasant), 1358 nucleotides. RefSeq lists it as uncharacterized. The record is from RefSeq and is a predicted model, not a curated record. NCBI's taxonomy places the organism in Eukaryota, Metazoa, Chordata, Aves, Galliformes, Phasianidae.
UUAAUCUUAGCUGCCAAAGUUGCAGGGAGGAAACCAGUUCUUACAGAGAAAGACCAGGCUUACUCAGCCUCUAGGCACAGCAGGUUCAAAAGCUUGGCAACUGUUUGUUUGGUUUUGUUUUGUUGUGUUGUUUUUCUUUUUUUUUUCAGGUGUGGCACUUCCCACAUCACAAAGCUCCUCCAGGUGGGUCAGGUGAAGGCAGUGUAAAUGGGAGGCACUAAACCAGCUGCUUGUGGUCCCUCAGUUCGUGCACCUCACGGGGUGGCCCUGCAGCCCUGUCAGCCUCCCCAGGCAGCUGCCAUGCUUUCCUCCAGGCGCUGGGCCACGUCUGGGGAGCUUGAGCACUGGUGCCCGAGGUCCUGCCAGAGGGGUUAUGGUGGUGGCUGCUGUAAAGCCGUUGUGUGAUGCUGCCCUAGGCAGCACAGGGAGCAGCCUGCUCCUGGCCUCUGAUCAGUCUGGCAGCAUCUCUUUCUUUAUAGGAAAUGCUGCUUCUCACCUGGUGUUGCCAUGGCAAUGGGGAAACAGGCCCUGUUUUGGGCUCUUGGCAACUGUAUCUGAAGGGAGUGGCCAGUGCAUAGGUACAUAAAUCAGCCAUGCUCCACACACUUGCACUGUUAUUGCAUUAUACAUGAGUAAACAUUUACGUGUGUGUGUAUAUAUAAAGAGUAUGUGUGCAUGUGUACAUACUCUUUCUUGCUAGAAGGCCCUCACAAAACUUGACUGAAAAAGAAACUUUAACAAAGGAUAUGAACCAGGGAUUAAGGAAGGCAGAAAGAAAGGGGAAACCAUAGUUGUUGCUAAAACAAAAAAAACCAGCUUCAUAUUCACUGUUCCAUUUGAGGCAGUGCUGACUCCAUCCUGGGCCACCAGCUGCACAAGGAGCAUAGGAAGAGUUGGGUGCCAGAAGAGCAGCACUGGAGGUUCAUUGUGCUACAUGCUCAUCUUGCUAGCAAUGGACACUGCAGCUGUAUAUGCAGAGUGAGCCCUUAUUUACCUGGAAGGUGCAGUAAGGAAGACCUUGGGGCUCCUUCCAGUAGAGGCAGAGAUAGGUACCAAGCAAGAGCCAAGGUCUGGGCAGAGCUGAGUUGGGAUCUGAGGGAUCUGCCAAGCUAGUAAAGAAACCACAGAAGCAAGGAUGGGAGAGUGAAUAUGGAAUACUCUGCUGCAUGCACAGGUGAUGAUGUUGAAAUAGGAGAUUUUUCAUGUUUGAGCUGCAUCUUCAAAUCCAGCAGGCUGCCGACUUUGCCUACUUGCAGAAAGAAAUACUGAACUUUUUCUGAGUAUUAAUUAUUCACCACUGCAGAGUGAUUUAAAACAUGGGAGAAUUCUCUUAACAGCAAUCCCUAAUAAAUGUGUAU